CCCUUAGAUGCUCUGGGCCGCACGCGCGCUACACUGGUCGAUGCAACGAGUUUCUUUCCUUGGCCGACAGGCCUGGGCAAUCUUUGAACAUCGAUCGUGAUCGGGAUAGAUUCUUGUAAUUUUUGAUCUUAAACGAGGAAUUCCUAGUAAACGCAAGUCAUCAGCUUGCAUUGAUUACGUCCCUGCCCUUUGUACACACCGCCCGUCGCACCUACCGAUUGAAUGGUCCGGUGAAAUCUCCGGACUGGCGUGAGUCGGAGCAAUCUGACAAACACCGGAAAGUUGAUUAAACCUUACCGUUUAGAGGAAGGUGAAGUCGUAACA
Molecule: ribosomal RNA, 324 nt
Filed under: uncultured eukaryote
Lineage: Eukaryota
Description: partial 18S ribosomal RNA
Rfam family: Eukaryotic small subunit ribosomal RNA
Source: RNAcentral